GACGAACCGUGCGAACGUUGUUCGGAAUCACUGGGCUUAAAGGGCGUGUAGGCGGCUCCGCAAGUCGGGGGUGAAAUCUUUCGGCCCAACCGGAAAAGUGCCCCCGAUACUGCGGGGCUCGAGGGGGAUAGGGGCGGACGGAACUUCCGGUGGAGCGGUGAAAUGCGUUGAUAUCGGGAGGAACACCAGUGGCGAAGGCGGCACUCUGGGCCGGUACUGACGCUGAGGAGCGAAAGCGUGGGGAGCGAACAGG
This 253-nucleotide ribosomal RNA is filed under the name uncultured bacterium. RNAcentral's name for it is "partial 16S ribosomal RNA". It matches the Rfam family "Bacterial small subunit ribosomal RNA", at positions 524 to 776 of the family's 1533-position model. The record is from RNAcentral.